Molecule: ribosomal RNA, 679 nt
Filed under: uncultured bacterium
Lineage: Bacteria
Also listed under: 1 other name
Description: bacterial SSU rRNA
Rfam family: Bacterial small subunit ribosomal RNA
Source: RNAcentral
CCUUCUGGACUGACACUGACACUGAGGUGCGAAAGCGUGGGUAGCAAAUUGGAUUAGAUACCCUGGUAGUCCACGCCGUAAACGAUGUCCACCAGCCGUUGGGUGCCUAGCGCACUUUGUGGCGAAGUUAACGCGAUAAGUCGACCGCCUGGGGAGUACGGCCGCAAGGUUAAAACUCAAAUGAAUUGACGGGGGCCCGCACAAGCGGUGGAGCAUGUGGUUUAAUUCGAUGCAACGCGAAGAACCUUACCUACUCUUGACAUCCUGCGAAUUUGGUAGAGAUACCUUAGUGCCUUCGGGAACGCAGAGACAGGUGCUGCAUGGCUGUCGUCAGCUCGUGUUGUGAAAUGUUGGGUUAAGUCCCGUAACGAGCGCAACCCUUGUCCUUAUUUGCCAGCGCGUAAUGGCGGGAACUCUAAGGAGACUGCCGGUGACAAACCGGAGGAAGGUGGGGACGACGUCAAGUCAUCAUGGCCCUUACGAGUAGGGCUACACACGUGCUACAAUGGUCGGUACAAAGGGUUGCCAACUCGCGAGAGUGAGCCAAUCCCCGAAAAGCCGAUCUCAGUCCGGAUCGGAGUCUGCAACUCGACUCCGUGAAAGUCCGGAAAUCGCCUAGUAAAUCGUGGAUCAGAAUUGCCACGGUGGAAUACGUUCCCCGGGCCCUUGUACACACCCG